Non-coding RNA from Acanthosepion pharaonis, 113 nucleotides. The record is from the annotation of a GenBank genome assembly. NCBI's taxonomy places the organism in Eukaryota, Metazoa, Mollusca, Cephalopoda, Sepiida, Sepiidae.
UAUGGCCAUAUCUUUUUGAAACACCAUUCCUCGUAUGAUCACCAAAGUUAAGCAACAUCAAGCCUAGCCAUUACUUAGAUGGGUGGCCACUUGGGAAUACCAGGUGCUGUAAG